UUCGGUGGAAAAUAAUGUGAAAAACAUUAACUGUUCUCGCAACGGUAAAAGAACGUGAAGUACAAGUCCGAGCACCACCCAGUA
RNAcentral lists this non-coding RNA (84 nucleotides) under marine eukaryotic metagenome. The record is from RNAcentral.